This 20010-nucleotide long non-coding RNA is filed under the name Coffea arabica (coffee). Its description in RNAcentral is "long non-coding RNA (CARA_LNC001575)". The record is from RNAcentral. Lineage: Eukaryota; Viridiplantae; Streptophyta; Magnoliopsida; Gentianales; Rubiaceae.
UUUUUUUUUUUUUUUUUUUGUGGUUUGGAAGUUGGAACGUUGAAGAUUGAGGAUGAGUACUUCACCUUCACGAGUAUGAUUUCCGGCCGCAAUGCGAAUAAAUAGAGCCCAAGUGUCCAGUGCCGGAAACAAUAACACCGCUCAUGGCUCAUCCACUGAACCAGGCCCAAUAAGUCUAUCCUCAAUUUGAUGGUAAAAUUACACCAUUUUGAUAGUACAACCCAUUACUAUAAUUGAUAUUUUGUUGUUAGCUAGUCAAAGGUAAGAGAUAGUAGACAAAAUGAGAUAUUUUCCACUAGCAAAAUGAAGAAUAAUAUCCGGGUUUUACUAUUUCCUUGUAGCUAAAAUAGAGACCUAGAAAGAAGAUUACCUAAUGAGAAAGAAGACGAUACAAUAAGAGACAUCUAUGUCAUUUAAUGGAGCCAACUAAGGUCGAAAUCCCUAUGAUAAAUCCAUCAAAGCUUCAACAUCAUGAAUAAAGGUUUCUUCUUGGCGAUGUUUUGUUCGACAAUUUAAGUGGGCUACGUUUGGAUAUUUCAUGGCUGAUGGGAUAGGAUGGGGACAAAGACUUUAGCAAAUUCCUUAGUCAAUCUCUCCUCUUUUUUUUUCUUUUUUUUUUUUUUUUUUUGUGCUUGUUGGGAGCACACUUCACUACUGUCUUUUCUCCUUUAUUUAACAGUAAAUGUUAUAUGAAAGAGUAUAAAGCGCAGGUAUAAGAUAGGAAGUCCUUAUUUUUUUUUUUUUAAAACGAUAACUAUUAUAUAAUCUAUUCUAUUUUAAACUAUAAAGAAGAACCUAAAAAAACUUGUGUCAGAGAUUGUCAGAUACACAAACCUUAUUAGAUCAAAGAGGUGCUUUGACACCAUCCUUAAAUUUUUUUUCACUGCAGUAGAAUUUGAACUCCCACAUGCACCAAGAAGAACAGGAAGUACUGAUUAAAAUGGCAUAAUUUUGAUGGAGCUCUAAUUCGUGGCUACGGUCAAGGCAUCUGAUUAGAGAACUGAAAGUUAGUGGGACUGGCAAUGAUGGACGCCUUUCUCCAAAAAAAAAAAUACACUGUAGAAAGCAAUAAUGCUCACCUUUGCAAGAAUAUGCGCACAGCUAGAGGUAAUCCCAAAAAAAAAAAAAAAAAUCAAUCAAGAUAUGUUAAUGCAAAUCAAUCACUAAAGUACAACAAAGAUCAAGAGGCAAAGCCAUCAAGAAAUGGAUAAGAGUUUCUGCCAUAAUCUAAAAUCAAUCAAAGACCCACACAGUUUUAACCCGAAUGGUUGGUUAGCACCCGCAAGUGUGCAGCAGAUCAUCAUGUUCUAUAGCGAAGAACUACCGUAAAACUUUCAAGAAUGUCAUUAUUGCAAGACCAAUCAAAGUUGGUUUGCUUUUCUGUAUUUCUUGGUUUAAAAAGCUGUGAAAUAUUCCAAUCUGCUAAAGAAUGAAAGCCAUAAGUAGAAAUAUACCACGCUUUCUUAGCCAAGCAGAGGAAAGUGGGGAUAUAUGGGGCUCAUUGCCUGACUUUCCAGCGUUGGUAGCAAUCACAUUAUCAGGAAGGAACGAAGAAGACUCGAAAAGAUAAAAGGAAAGAAAGAAAUCCAGAUGGUGAGUUGAGUGCCAAUUUCAGCAACUUUUUGGAUGUCAAUUCAAUUGCCAACGCCUUAUUGUUAGGAUAUCACAUGCCUCCAUACAUUCACUUGCAAAGUACUUUACAAAACAACCUUUUGGCUUUUGCUCUCCCACUGCUUUUUUUAAUUUUUAAUCUAGCGGUCCAAGAUGGAGAGGGAAAACAAAGAAAGAAGGAUGAAGAGCCCUUUUCAUUUCUCAAAAAGCUAAGGGCAUAUUAGUCAUUCACAGCCCCCUCGUUAACAGUAAAGCACUCUUAACAAUGAUCUUAUACAACAGUAUUUACCCAAAACCCUCUAAAUCCUACUUAUACUACUCGUAAGUCGUAUCUAUUUUGCGUUGAUCAAGGUUAAUAAUUGUAUCUAAACCUCAUCGGAAAACCUUUUGAUUUUCCGCCGGGAAGCCCAUCACAUCGCUGGAGAAAGAUCGAUCUCAAUUAGAUUCUCUUCUUCACCAUCACUAUACCCCUUCCCUUCCAGUUUGAUCUCUAUCAGCCCAUCUCUAUCCUCCCCUUCCCACCGGAAACACAUAUUCUCCUGCGGGUCCCAAUCUCUGAUCGCCGGAAAAUCCUCAUCCGAGGAGCUAUCCGAAUCGUCGGUUUCCGGGUAAAACUUCGACAGGGAUGCGUACCUCUCAAUAACGGCCAUCUGGGCAUCUCUUUUUCCCUCCAAAACGUCGUCCUCAUCGUCUUCUUGACCUUCAUACUCCUCAUAUAUCACCUCCAGUGGCGCCCCGACGUCCCACUCAACGAAGGAAUCAGUACGAAACGACGUCGGCAUGUUGCAAAAGUCUGAACCCAAUCCAUUUUCGGAGCUUUCCUUGGAUUUGGAGGAGACCCAUCCGCGAUCAACAUGAUGGUCAUCAUCAUGGGUGACACUGAAUUCCGCAGAAAUGGGAUCAUUUUCCUUUAAAGUUUCCUCUUGGGAGGUUAUGGUUCUCUGGAUUGCGCCCAGUCGAAGAAGGGAAAGUAAGAGAAUUGAGGUGGAAAUUAGGACCGGGGAGAAGAUGAUGGAGAGGAAAAGAGUCGGGAAGUAGAGGAAAAUUAGAAUGCAGAGAGUGAUGAUGGUGGAGAAUAAUGGGUCGUUGACGAGAGAGGAAAUUGUUUUUCCUAGGAAUGACAUUGUUGUUUUCAGGGGGAAAUUUUGACGGGGAAAGGAUCUGAUCAUUUGAAUUGCCUUUAUCUAUAGCAAGAAUUUGAUGGAUGCUAGCACUAAAGAGAUCAGACUUGGGGACUUGGAAGUAAUGGGAUUCGGUUGAGAGAGGAAGAGAAUUAGAUUACGUGAUUGACGAGACUUAAAUCCAUCCCAUGCAUUGAUAUCUUGUGAGCGAGUGUGGGGUGGAUGGGACUGUAGCAAGAAAAUGCUUUUUAUGGGUUUUGGUAUAGGGGUGGCAAUGUAUGAUGGGUUAAAAAUGAUCAUACAAAUAAUGGAAAGGGCUUGGGUUCCAUACGAUUCGAUCUGAUUGUUAUGUCUUUCGUAUCAUUUAAACUACUUGGUGUAAGAUUACAUUACAGUAUUUGUGUAAACGUGAUGUAUAUAAAUAAAAUACUUGACAUAUAUUUAGUAUUUAUACAUCCAAAAUUUGAAUAUGUACAACAAUCGGAUGAAACUGCACAAAACACAACUGCAUUGAGUGCUUGUUCCACAAGUAAGGUAUUGAAUAUUACUAACAAUAUGCUUCCAACCCCAACCCAAAAAAAGGCUAAAAAUUAGGAUAAAACAAAGAAUUAUUAGCAUUUUUUUUAUUAAGCUUUAAGUUGAUUUCAAAUCAUGCAAACGUAAUCUACAUCUAUAACUGUUAGUAUAAAAAAAUCAUUAUACUGUCAAUGCAUAAAAAAUUAACUGAAAAGGAAAUUGUCGAGCAUAGCUACAUAGGGACCUCAACCUUAUUAACGCCCCUCUACAAGAUAAGUGCAUAGAAUCGAACUGGAGGUCGUGUGCCUAAUUACUGUAUUUGUAGUAAAAGUGAUGUAUAUAAAUAAAAUAUUUGACAUAUAUUCAAUAUUUAUACAUCCAAAAUUUGAAUACGUACAGCAAUAGGAUGAAACUGCACAAAACACAACUACACUGAGUGCUUGUUCUACAAGUAAGGUAUUGAAUAUUACUAACAAAAUGCUUCCAACCCCAACCCAAAAAAAAAAAGGAUAAAACAAAGAAUUAUUAGCAUUUUUUUAUUAAGCUUUAAGUUGAUUUUUCAAAUCAUGCAAACGUAAUAUACAUCUAUAACUGUUAGUGUAAAAAAAUCAUUAUACUGCUGAUGCAUAAAAAGUUAACUGAAAAGGAAAUUGUUGAGCAUAACUACAUAGGACCUCAACCUUAUUAACGGCCCCUCUACAAGAUAAGUGCAUAGAAUCGAAAUGGAGUUCGUGUGCCUAAUUAACUUCUAAAGUAGUACCAAUUUUGUGGGGAUUUUCAGGUGUACUGAAGCAAUUCUAGGUAUUAGUAUGCAAACAAAAAAAAGGGGUUAAUAGGAGCAUAUUUCCUAGAUUGUAUUGCGUAAUUUUUGGAACUCAAUUUUUUUAAAGGAUUAAAAACUAAUUUGGUAGUCCAAUCUCAAAUGGAAGCCCAUUCUGCCGGAAGUGCCAAGCUCGACACUAGAUGCAGAUGUGCCGCCUGCCCAGAGGUGAGAUUCUUUUGUUGGGCCGAGUUUGGAUUUGUCAAAGACUAUAAUGACAGGUUUAAUAAGCCUUCCUACCUGGAUAAUCUGUUGAAGUUCAAAUCUUACCUUGUCAUUGAAUUUAAUUGAAACUGGGGAAAAAUCAAGAGACCAAAAGAAAAAACUAAAUGCAAUAAUACUAAAAAGAAUAUUAGGAGACUAAUGGGAAAUGGAGUUCUUGACUCAAGAAAAAUAAAGAAACAAGGGGAAUGGAGUUCUUGGCGGGUCAUUGGUUUGUCCACCAAUAUAUUCAUUCCCGUACAAAAUUAACCGUGAUAGUAUAUACACUGUCAGUGUAUAUAAGAUUUGCUCUUGAGAUAAUCUUUGGUUUCUGCGACUUCAUCAAUACUUCUCAGCUCGUGGCUCUUUUACUAUGUGGUAUAUCACAUUUGUGGUACCUCAUGAGUUUUUUUUUUUUCUUUUUUACAUUCUUAUUUUUACAAUAUGAUUUACCAUAAUGUGAUAUACCACAUUGUAGAAUUUCCCCAGAUUCUAACACAGUUUUAAUUUGAUAAACGUAUAACUGUAUAUACAUGCAGGAUACCUAUCAAACUUAAAAAAAAAAAAACCAAAGACUUUAUAACUAUUGCUGAAUAUUACCCUCACCCAAGGCAAUAAUACAAGAUGAGAAUUCUAGCCCUGUAGAAGCCCCGUACGUGGUGAGAUAUUAUUAUGAUGCAUCUCCCUUGGUAAAUUUCUGCCAUCUUUGUUUGCGAACAUUGCACCUGGUAGUUGUCAUUGAAUACUAAUUCAUAUAUUCUUGAACGGAGCAAUUGUUGUGUUAUCAUGAAUAUCCUUUGGGUUAAUCUGUUGCAGUUCAAUUAUCUUCUGGAAAUAAACCAGUUAGGCUGCUUUUUGGCCCUAAGCCAUUGUUGGCUCUGAUAUUCAUCUAAUGCCAUGAAUAUCAUUUGAACGAAAGAGAUCAACAUUUGAUAGUGCGCCCAUCUCCUGCUAUCUUAUCACUGCCAAGUUCUUGAUGGGUUGAUUAAACUUGUAGUAGCAUUUACAUAGUUUAAAAGCAUUCAAGAAAGAAAACAAAGAAAGAAAGAAAGAAAGAAAAGAAGUGUAGCGACAUGUAUGCUAUGCCUAUGGGUAUGGGAACAUAGGGAUGGGACUAGUGGCAAUACUUUUAAGGCAUUCUUGUCAACGAGUCACACUUGUUGCUUGUUUUUUAAGACGUGGGCUGGGGGAGCAAGUGAAGCGAAUAGCUAGUGUUACAUAUGUAUUUGUACGGUAGUAUGAUAGUUGGAUACUUUGAACUAAAUGUACAAGAAAUCAAGGAUUCAUACUCUUUUCCUCCCACAAGGUCCAAAAAGGGAUAUAUAUAUAUAUAUAUAUAUAUAUAUAUAUAUAUAUAUAUAUAUAUAUAUAUAUAUAUAUGUAUAGCUAUCCUCAAUAGGGUAUACACGUUAGUUUCACGCUAUGAUGCUAAUUUAGCUCAAGUAUUACGGAGCGUGUUUGAAUAGGAGAUUAUUUAAUAUAUUAUUUGUACUAUUGUCUGUCAUAUUUUUUAUGAUGUGAUGUUUGUGAAAUAGAAAAGUGAUUAAGAAGAUAAAAAUGUUGAUUGAAAAAUGUAUUUGUGGUGAUGUAAGCAAAUAAUUUUUUUUACAAAUAAUGUGAUAUCCAAACAAUUUAAUAAAUUUAUGAUACCAUUGAAACCGAUCCAACUGCGCCCUAGCUAAGACAAGCAACUAAUAAAUGCAAAGCCCAAUUAGUACAACAUUGCCUAAUGAAUAUGUAACUUGGAUGCCAGUGUUUUUAGUUCAUUAAUGGAGAACAACUUAAUUACCAUGCAUCUCCAAUUAAUUAACCGGAAAAAUCCUACUAUUACACUUAUAGACGCUGUUAUACACAUACUGUUAAACUAUCAUCACCUCACCAAAUUAAUUACCAGAAUAACAAAAUCAACAGCCAUCACAGUUUCUAAUUCUAAACUCGUAGAUCAAAAUUACAAUUUGCCAUAACAUACAACAAUACAGGCUUCUGCCGAAGAUAAAACAACGAAGAAUCGUAUAAUGCAAAUUCAUUCCUGAAAUUCUUAAGAAAUGAUUGGUAACCUGGAACAGCAUCGUGUUCUUUCCAAAUGGAAAAUCUACCAUUAAAGUUUUUCUUGUCUGCCACUUUCAUUUACAGUCAAUGAAAAGUCGAAAGAAUAUCUCAAAAACAACAAUGAUUUUCUAUAUAUGAUUCCAUCCAAAAUGCACCAACAAAACAGAAAAGAUGGUAACCUAAAUUCCCAAUGGAAAAUUUUACUCAAUAAAUGCACUGUGGGCUUUAAGUCUUAACUCUUAAGCCUCUAAUUGUACUAGAUGUUUAACUAACUAACUAACUGACUAUGUAUCGGUGCUCCUUUUUAUAUCAUCACAACACACGAACUACAAGUUUUUGUUUCAUAAAAGGUGAUAAUUCUUUUAAAGUUAUAAACAUCUCUUCAAAAAAUUGCUUAAUUUUUAUCAAGUACUGCUUUGCCUCUAGAAGCAAAGGGGUCCCCAUGAAAAAGCAAAGAACUAGUAAUUGCUCGAAAAGGUUACCAUUAAACUAGCUUGAAAAGACAUGACGGAGUACACAUUUGCUUUUUGGUUCUCCAACUUCGAAGGUUCUUUUCUUUUACUAUGCGUCUUCCGUUUGGAAAAAUUGUAAUUAAUGUUCAAGAAAUUAGCGAUAGAUACAAGACAUCUCCUGAAGAUACAAAAGAUCUACUUGUGGUGCUGAGUUCAGCUCAAGAAUUUUUUUUCUUUUAAUUUAAGUUGAUCUCGACUUGAUUUAACUGUAUAUUGAUGAUACAAAUGACAUAUCAUUGUAUCGAAGUUAUUGAUUGCCUGAUGGUGAUUUGACCGAGAGUUAUUGCAAGUAUUAAACAAUUCGAUAUAUUAAAGCACAUUUAGAAUGUAUAUUCUAAACUGCAAAUCAUCAAUUAGAAGAUUCUAUAAACAUAGUGAAUGGAAAAAAAAAAAAAAGCAAAUAUUUAAGAGUUAAAAUUGCGAAAUUGUCACAUAGUCGAGUUUCUUGGACAAUAUGGAAUCUAAGCAUGUGCAUAGAAAGGUUUCGAAAAGGCAAAGACAUUAUUCAAGAAUUAUUGAAAUGACCUUAUGUUUCAAGGGUUUUCCAAUGCAAUAGUUGAUGAAGUCGGUAAUGACUGGUUAAUUUUUUUUUUUUUAAGGAUACAAAACUAAUGCAUGAUAUGAAUACUAGCCUAUAUAAGGUAGGAUAAACAUUAUACAGAAAUUUAAGGAUUUAAAUGAAUGCAUGAUAUGAUAAAAAAAAAUGAAUGCAUGAUAUGAACCCUAACCUACAUAAGGUAGGAUAAACACUACAGUGAAAUUAGUAGUAAAUUGACAACUUCUGAGAUAAUAAUGAUAUCGAAACCUUUCAACAUAAAGUAAUAAUGGCUUGAUUAUGCAACUCAUUUGGUAAUAGCUCUUAUAUACUUCGAUCAUUUUGUCAUGCAGAUCCCUGGAAUAGGUUCCACUUCUUCUUCCUUUCCAAUGUACGGUAUCGUAUAACUACCAAUAAUUGCGUAAAUAUUUAAUUCCUGCACAGAGAACGGAAUCUUUAAUGCUACAUGAUUUUGGAUAGAUCGAGUAGGCAGGCAGAUUUGCUGAACAAACUUUCCGUAAAGUGAUCGGAUAAUAUUCAAAUGAUAAGCGUCCUGUUAUCUCAUCAUUGCUUCAGGAACAAAUCAUCCAUGGCCAUUGGCCAGGCCAGAAAAAGCAGAGAGGAAAGGGGAGGGGGCCAUGCAAUGACAGUCGGGAUUGCUUUGCUUGAUGUAACUCCCUCUUGAGCUGUAUGAGGAUAUGGGGCUGCAGGAUCAUGGACGACUGACUGGUUUUUGGCUAAUAGUUAGAUGUGGCAGACAGCAAAUCCCGGCCGUCAGUUCGAUUGAUACAUAGUGCACGUUAAAGGGUGUAUGAUUUGUACCAGAGUAGAAGUUCAUGUCGGAUGACGAAUUGAAGAUAUUGGAACUGGGAGAAGAAGUUCCUCAAAAUUAAUGUUUAACAUCUGACAAUUCAAGAAACUUUUGGGGGGUUCAGCAUUCAGCACAUGCCUAAGGGCCCUUCUAUUUCUCUCCCAAGCCUCAUGUUGAUGAAUAUCUGAACUUUAGCUUUUAUGGUUUAGGCACAUUUCCACUAGCUAAAAUGAGAGCUCUUCUUCCCCACCCCCAACACUCCCCUGUCGUUUGGGUUGAAAAAAAAUUAUAGACAAGAAGGUUCUGAAUAGAAUGGCAAGAACGGAAUUGGUAGUGGAGCAAAGAAUUAAACAUUUUCUUGUUUGAAGCUCUUCAUCUCAGUUCUUUUCUUCUUUAUCCACAUACAUAAAGAGCAUAAACUUUAUAGUUGACAUACAAAUACAUUGCACAGAAGAUUUCUCUGAUAGGGUCAUUUGGUCAUUCAGACACCAUUACCAUCCUACACAUUAGCUUGGACCAUCAUGGAGAAAACCAAACUACGACUCCUUGAAUACUGUUGUUCCUGCAUGAGGAAGCGACAGAUGCCCACCAGAAAGCAGCUAGGCAAGAGUAAAAGCAUCCCAAACAGCCAGCCAAAAUUUGGCCCCAAGGAUUCUCUGUUUCAUUUCUCAAACCAACGGGAGAUAUAGAACGGCCUAACGUUGUAUGUAAAUAACCGCAGCUUUAGUUUACAGACAGCACUACUGUCAUUUUUCACAGGACAACAGUCAAGCGACAAUGUGCAAUACUCUAAACUCCCACAAACUUUUAACGUUGUAUAUAAUAAAUACUCAUAAAAGAAAGUAACCUACAAUAAGCACAUAGCAAAAUCCUAUCCACCUUGGAAUGUAUGGAAAUACUAGGAGGUGGUUAGAAGCAUUUCCUUGAAAACCUAGCAGGUCAUUCUAUCGAUGAUGCCCUUCCAUGGGCUGUAUGAGUAUUUCUUCCAUACAUCUUCAGUUCCUUUUUCUUCAUUGCUUCCAAGAUCUUCUGAUACCUUGGGUCAAUUUCUCACUUAAAACUGCGCCACCAACUCAACCCAUCCAAGAACGCUUUGGAUUUCAAGAAGUUGGAAAGGCAUCCCCGAGAAAUCAAUGCUACCAUGGGCCUGGGGGGCCAUAACCUCCAUGAUGCUCUUUACCGGGGGGAAGUUUCCAUAUGAAGGCCUUGGAACAGGAGCUCCAUAUGGAGAACCUGGGAUCAUAAUAAGAAGAAAACUCUUUGGACAUUACUGUACAUUGAAGAAAUCAAAUAACACAUUCGAAUCACAAUGGAGAUAAAAAAAAAUGUUUAUACCAAGCAUGAGAAACAAAGUAACGACUAAGUUGAUAUUCUUCAACAGGUUGUCACCAUCUCUAGCUCAAAAAUACAGAAAGAAAAACAUUCCACCCAGCGAGGAAGGAAACUCAUCACAGUUGGUCCAAGAUGCAAUAAAAUUAAAGUUGCAUAUUGGUGUAUGGCACUCAUGACCCACUUUUACCAUUUUGAAAGUUGAUUAAGUUUUACCACAUAGAUAUUAGAAGAAAAUGUAACUCGAUAUCAUACUUGAAUAUUUUCCUAAUUCCUAUUACAAAUAUUUGGAAAUUAAUGAAAACAAGAUUUUUCCAAAUAUAAGUUUUACUGGAAAUCACCAAGGAUGUCACAAUAACAGAACAACAAAUAAUUCAUAAAUUCUGCUUAAAAGAAAUAUAAUGUGAUGAAGGAAGCUACUAACCGUAUGGUCCUGCUGUAGUAGACCCAAAUGUAGGUGGUCCUGUACCCAAGAGCUCCUGUGAUGAACGUUGUGGCUGACUAGCAUAUACAACUUGAGAGUUAAACGGAACUGUAGUCAAACUUGCAUAGGUUUCAGUCAUGUGCAUUCUGUUAUUAUCAGCAGCACUGCACGUAUAUCCUGCUCCAUAGCUCAUAUAAAGCUCAUUCCCAUUCACAGGAGCAGCAAAUCUAUUUUCACCAUCACUUCCACCAGAGUGAGAAUACCCUCCAUGACUGCCAUAGCUUUCAAGUCUAUUAAUUGGAUACGAAUAAGAGUUACUUCCAGCAGGGGUUCCAACUGGAGGAUAAGGUGAGCAUGAAUUAGACCAAGGUCCAGCAAAGCCAUCCAAAAAGGAAAAAAUAUAACUAAGAAAGACGAGAAAAGAAUGCAUUAACAUGUAGCUGUUUUAGAAACCAUAAAAGAGGCAAACCAGGUAAACUUCCUUUAUUUCGCAGGGGGCUCCAAAUGAAGGAAUAGACAUUUCAUGAGAACUUCCUCGUGGCUGACUAGCAUACACAUCUUGAGAGUUGAAUGGAACUGUAGCCAAACUUGCAUAGGGUUCAGUCAUGUGCAUUCUGUUAUUAUCAAUAGCAAUGGACGUAUAUCCUGCUCCAUAGCUCCUGUAAGGCUCAUUCACAUCCAGAGAAGCAGCAAAUCUAUUUCCACAAUCACUUCCACCAGAAUGAGAAUACCCUCCAUGACACAAAUAUGAGUUACUUCCAGCAGGUGUUCCAACAGGAGGAUAAGGCGAAUAUGCAUUAUUAGACCAAGGUCCAGCAAAGCCCAUGCCAUCUGAAAACGAAAAUUAUUUAUAAGACGAAAACAUAUCAUUUGCAUGUGGCAAUUUUGGACACCACAAAAGAGAGACAAACUAGGUAAACUGCAUUGAUUUUGCACAGGGGUUCCAUUGGAAUAUAUGUUUUCUAUUCCAUAGGAAGGAAUAGAUGUUUCAUGAGAAUUUCAUUGAUAAUUUUGCACAGGGGCUCCACAUGAAGGAUUAGAAGAUCUAUAUAGGACAAUGAAGGACUAUCAUGAGAAUGGACAAUGCCUUUACCAGAAUGAGAGGAAACCACCACACUCGCAUUGAGAUUUGCUUUCAUCUGAUCUAAAUAUCUCUGCGACUCUGCUCGGCUGAGCUCUGGGAAAAAAACCUUACAGCACAAAAAGUACAGGUUACAAUGCAGCCUAAAACCCAAACAUGAAUAGAGGAAGGAAGAAUAAGAAUGCAAUUUACCUCAUCAAAAUACUCAUCUGUAUUGGGCAUGUCCUUGCUCAUUGGCAAAGUAUAAUUGGCUGCCAUGCACCGAUUACAGGUCACCACAAAAAGGAAACAGAUGAUGAAGAAGGAAAGGCCAAAGCAUGGCAAUUUAGAUAGAAGGAACUACUGAUCUAGACAAACCUAACAUCUCAUUUACAGCUUGAGCAGGAAUUUCUUUUCCCAUUUCUUUGUUCCUUUUAUCUGAACGAUUAUUGAGCUCUUCCGGUCUCGGAAAAACAACAACGGCAAUCUGCCUCAAGAAAACACAGCCUUUAAUAUCACAAUAUUCAUGCAAGCAUGGGAAGCAUAAUUUCAACCUUUUAACAUAAAUCUCCAGGAAAAGAAAGAAUCAUACUUUGAAGAGAAAGAAAAAGUUACCUUACGGUAGUUCAAAAAUGGCUUCAGCUUGCGUUUACGUGCAUUCUUGUAGACAUUUGUUUGGUCGAUUAUGAAAUUGCGAGGCACCUUGGAAGCUCUGGACAUAAGAGUAUUGAAAAUCGCAGUUGCUCGUUGCAUCAGACGAUCAAAUCGUUCACCAUAGUUAUGUCUACGAAGCAGACCAGGCACCUUUAUGAAAUUCAAGCUUUUAUCAGAAAAUUGAGAAGAGAAAAAUGCUACUUAAAAAUGAAAAAGCUCUAAAACUAAAACAAGGAUACUAAGACGUGAAUAUGAAAGGCGUACAACCUUCAUCUGAUCCAGGACUAAAUUGGUUCCAAGCAGAAUAUAUCGCUUUUCUGGAUGAGCCCUGACCAAAUUCUCAGCCCACGUAGACUUGCCAGCAGCAGGUAAUCCAACCAUCAUUAUUAGUUCACAAUCACUUACAUUCUGAAACGUAGGUCCCAAUAUCACCUUCCGAUCCUCAAUUGCAGAGGCCCACGGUUUGUAGCCUUCUUGUGGAACUAAUCCAUCUUCAGUCCUGAAUUGCAUCUGAACUUCAACAUUUUUUAGCAAAACAUGAGGAAAUAGUGCUGAUUCCCAUUGCAAGUUUUUGAUUGGACAAUUAACCACUUCGAGGCCACCAAAACCUGCAUGAAACUGAAUUGCAGUUCCCAGCCACUUCCCAUUCUUUGAGAAACCAAUUGAAGCCAUGGGUUUACUUUCAAGGUUGACACAGCAAAUUAUAGUGUCACCAUCAUCAAACUGCUCUCCAUAACCUGAAUAUUUUCCUGCAUUAGAAAACAUUCCUGUGCCCCCAAAACCAAAACUGUGUAGGGUCUCCCCAAGAUUUCCAACAACAUCAUCUCCCCUUGAGAUGCCAACCCUACAUAUAUGCUGCUGGUCCAGUGGAGUGUCAUCCAUAUCAACUGGCUGAUGUGCAAUAAUUUUGCACCCAAAGCAAUACUUUCCCCCAGUGAUUCCCACGUUGGCCCGGGCACCAGACCAGCAAUAAGCAAAUCCCUCCUCAUAAAGUGCUGAACCACGCAGACCAUCUUCUUCAAUAUUGAAAUCUGUCAAAGAGUGAUGUCCGACAUCAAGCUAUAGAAAGGUGAAACCAAUAAUGGAAAAGUAUUUACUCCUAAUAUUAGAUCGAAGAUAGCUGUUCAUUGUGAUUGAGUUGUACCCUAGAUUAUCACAAAGAAACACUUCUUGAUUGCAAACAAUUGAAGAAAAUCUCACAUACGAGCUGGAAAACUAGCAGUGUAUCACCCCCAAUAUCAAAAUAAUAAUAAUAAUAAAAAGAAUAUGCCUGACGGUUUCUUUUCAUAGGGUAGUAGAAUGCAUCCAAGCCCUGACUGUUUUAGUUGAAAAAAAAGCUCUGAUUAGUUUAACUGAAAAAUGUUCUAUAUACUUGACCUCUACCUCAAUUUAAACAUUCAGGGUCCUGACAUGUCUGAUGUAAAUGCUAAAUGAUACAAGGUACAAGGUAACUUUCCAAAUGGAGUUACUGUUUGAUCACAAUUUUUGUGUACUUGUGUACACACAUAUACAUAGGUUGAGAAACAAUUUCAUUGAUGCACCUAUUAUUAAGUUAAUCAAUCAUCAUACGAGGGAAACUACACAAAGGUUUAAUUGUCAUAUGUGCCAAUUUUUUAUACAGAAUGGAUCUGUUCAACCUAUUCAAGUCCCUCCGCCUCACCAAGAACAUAAUUCAAGAGGCAUUUUAUCAGUAAAAGAAGGUAUACACAAAUGGCAAGAAUUUCCAACAACCCACCAUUAUCUAACAAAAUUUUCUUUCAGUCCUUUGCAAUAAGGAAGAUGACAGUCUCUUAUGAAGAGGGAAAAAUUUUGAAAAAGUUCACCGAAACCACUCAGAAGCAUUAUUUGUCAUAUACCUAAACCCUGCUUUUCCUCCUUUGACUCUCGGGGAAAAGGGGCUCUUGAUUUUUACAUCCUCCCAUUCUUCUCCCAUUUUCUUAAACAACGAUAAGAGAAGGCAAAUUGAACCCAAGUUACUAGCCUAAUCGAAUGACUUCUUACCUAAAUUUUUUUUAAAAAAAAACACACAUUUUUGUCACAAUUAAAAAACUAAAGCAACAGAACAGAAACCUAAAAUUGACGGAUUAACCAAUGCAUGUAAUCAUUUCCCAAUGAACACAAAGAGAAGCCACAAAACAAAAUAAUCCCAACAAAUUAAAAAAAAAAAAACAUGCAAAGAAUCCUUUUAUAGGAUAUCGAAAUUCAACCCUCUAUCUUGCGAAAUUGAAGAAAUCGGCGAUCAAGAAAUGGAAUUCAUACGCGAUAUCACAAUCGGCCGGAUUGAGGAGGACGCGACGAACCGGCAGCGCCGGAUGAUAAUCAGCAGAGGCUUGUUCUUCUGCUUCAAUUUUCCCUUUCUUGGCAUCCCUCCACGGCGCCCCGUAACCCUCUUCGAUCGGCUGAGGACGCUUUGCAGAUGACGCCAUCGCUCAACAAUGUCUCUCGCAAAUUCUCUCAGGUAAGCUGAUGCUCGCUUCCACUUCACUUCAUUUCACUUCACUAUAUAUAGCCAGUAUUCUGCUGGCAUAUCCGUUACGUUGAGUUGGGUAUUUAUAGAGAACCUGAGCACCGCCUUGCCUGUGCAAUGGCACGUGACAUGUGUUUUUAACUUUUAUUGGUUGCGUCGUCACACUUGUAAUCUGGGAUUGCAGUUGAUGGCACCACUAGGGAGCCUCUAUGAUGAAACUAAUAACCUUAAAAGAAACUAAUCAGGUGCACUUUAGGUGCAUCAUUUAAAAAGUUAUUUUAGUCAAUCAUCUUUUGUGGUCGUCUUGAUCCAUUAUGUUUAAUCUCUCAUCCCGUUAAGGUAUGGUUAAUGGAGAGAUGAUUUGGAUCGAAAAUUUAAGAAUACUAAUGGAAUUGAUGACGUGCAUGGUAUGUGCAUUAGUAAAAAGUAAAAAAAAAAAAUUAUAUAUAAAGCUAAAUAGAAAAGUGUCACAAGCCCUCAACCCUAAUUUUUUUUUUUCAAUUUCCCUCGCCAAUUUCUUUAACGAGAGUCCAAACUAUAUAAAUAAAAGGACUAGACAAUUUUCCCCUCCUAAUUUUCCCAAAUUCAUGACUUGCAAAGGAUACAAUAGUAAGGGAUCAUGCAAUUAAUAAGAAAUGGAGAAAUCAGUUGGCACAGUAAAUAUAAAAUUUAGAAAUUCAAAAACACUUUUUAGUAAAAGAAUAAUUUUUUUGGUCUUUGAAGACAUCUCAAAUGAGCUUAUAAACAUAAUUUUAAACACAAUUUUUUCUAAUUUUUAGAAAUUCUAACAAUUUGAAAAACUCCUCGAGUUGAUUGUAAACACAUUGUAAUAAUUAAUAAUAUUUUUUAGUUUGGAAACACCUUAAAUAUACUCCUAAAAAUAAAUUAUUUAUACCUUAAAGUGCUUAUUGUUAUAUUUGUAUCCCACUAAAAUUGCACAUUUACACAAUUUGUCUACUAACUUCAUGCUUUUCUUGAUAUACUUUAAAUUUUGAAGAAAAAGGACAACAUAGGGCACUUUUAGAAUGAAAACAUCUUCUCAAUUCCAAAAUGAGUUUUAAAUUAUUUAUACCUUAAAGUGCCUAUUGUUAUAUUACAUCCCACUAAAUUUGCACAUGCACAUAAUUUGUCUAUUAACUUCAAGCCUUUUUUAAUGUACUUUUAAAUUUUUUUUUUUAAAAAAAGGACAACAAAGGGCACUUUUAGAAUGAAAAUAUUUCUCAAUUCAGAAUUGAGUUUUGUAAUAAUAAAUUUUGAAAUGGAUUGUCAUUGUUACAAAAAGUCAAAAGUAGAGAAGUGAUGUUUUUCAAAGUUCAAGGUGCUAAGUGAAAUUAUUAAAAGCUUCAAUGGAGGUUUUUGAAAUUGUCCCUUCUUUUUUUACAAAAAUCUUUUUUUUCCUGCCUAGAAAAUGAUGUCUUAUUAAAGACAUUAGUAUGCUUUUUUUUUUUUUUUGAUAAUUAAGACAUCAGUAUGUUAAGUUACAGAUAAAAGAUUUAUCCCUAGCACUACUAACUCUUAAGUUUUCUUGAGGAUGAAAAAUUUUCGUACUUGUUUUAUUACAAAAAUCUUUUUAUUUCAUACUGGUUUUAGUUUUCUCGAGAAGUAGUGAGGUCAUCAGUAUCUGACUUACAUAUGAAAGAUUGGGUUAAAAGCACUAACCCCUUCCUUCUCCUCCGCUAAUGGUUUGGUUCCAUUUGCAUCUUUCCCCCUAACAUUACUUUUAUUGCACUUUCUUCCCUCAACUAACAAUCAAUAUUAAUAGUUUGGCAAAAAAAAAUUAAUGAUCUCAAAACAAUAAUUAGUAGAAAUAAUACUCGGAAAGAAGAUUUGGCUUUUUGUUUCAAGCGAAUGUUCUUAAAAAUGGAAUCCAACCACGUAAAAAAAUCACGUGCCCUUGAAAUCUAUUUUAGAAUUUAAAAUAAAAUCACUUCAAGUGCCAAAAAAAAUCGUAAAAUGAUUGCAAAAGAAAGAAUACGAUAUAACUUUAAAAACAAAAUUUUCUGUUUAAAUAUUUAAAUUUACACGAUAUGUGUAUAAGAGACAUCUUACCAUAUUUGUAACUUACCUCCAUCUAUUGAUAUCCAUAAUCUGAGAAUGAAUAAGGUUAACUAUAGCAAAGUUUUCGAAUUUACUUAAUAUGGUAUAAUUUUUUGUUAAUAGAAGUGGAAUGUUUUGGAAACUUACUUUUUGAUUUGCCAAAAAAAUAAAAAAUUGCAUUGUUAAAAAUGGAUGACAUGAGAAGCUUGGGCAGGGGAAAAAAGAAUAAAAGAAAAUGGAGAUAAGGACGAAAUUGAAACAUUAGACAUUUUAGGUUCCGUUUGGAUUGCAUUUUCCGUCAUUUUUCAUGGAAAAAUUACUGUAGCGAUUUGAUGUAUGUGAGGAAAAAAGGUAAUAGGGAAAUGUGUUCACAGAAAAUGACGAAAUUUUUCUACGGAAAACAGCAAUCCAAGCAAGGCCACGGCUUAACAGAGGAAGGCCACAGCAAUCCAAACAGUAUUUAACAGAGGAAGCAAUUUGCCAAUUCCGCCUGUCAAAGUUCUGUUCAUUUGCAGAAGAGAACCACGGCUUAGUACCUUUAGCCCUAAAAGAUUUGUCCAUGCGACUAAUACUAACUUUUCAGUUUUAGGUACAGGAAUUGCCCCAAAAUAAUCAAGGCAUAGAAAUUGCCCCAAAGCAAUUGGGAGCAUAACCCAGAAAUAUUCGUUUAACUAGUUCCUAACCUAUUACUUAAGAGUAACUGCCCAUAAUUUGUUGAAAGAUUUUAAAAAAGAAAAACUAUAAGUUGAUUGAUAAAAAGAUUUAGGGUGCGAUUUGAUAUUAAGUCAUUGAAUUGUUAAGUAUUAAAUCUAAUACAUUUGAGUGUAUGUCAUAUUCAGUGACAAGUGAAUAACUUAUCACUUAAUUUUGGGAGCAAGUUUUGCCCAGAAAAUUCAGUGUUACUAAAUUAAUUCAGAUAUUCAAUUUUUGGUUAUCAUACAAUCUGAAUAUGUUAAGAUUUGAAUCCAUUAAGUUUAAGUACUGAAUUGAAUUAUCAAAUAGGGCCUUAGUAAGACAUAAGUGAUACGAAUAUAUAUAUAAAGUGGAAAUUAAUAAAUUAAUUAAAAUUACUAUAAAUAAGGAAGUAAAAAAGGAAGAGAAUUAAUUAUUACAAAAAAAAGCAGAAAAGAAUUUAAAAAAAAAACACAAAUUCUUAAGAAGUGGCGAAAAGAUGGAUAGUCCAUUUGACAGAACAUGAAUAUGUUCAACUUGACAAAAUGCGGAUACGUUCAACUCAGCAAUCUACCAUUUGGAUAGAGUAUUAUUUGAAAUAUUAUUUGGAAUAAUUACUGUAGUACUUUUUGUGAUGUGAUGUAUGUGAGAUAAAAAAGUAAUUGGGAAUAUAAAAAGGUGGGUUGGAAAAUGUGUUUAUGAUGCAAGCGAAAUAUUAUUUGAGAUAUUUGUGCUAUCCAAACACUUUUAUUUUAUGUGUGCGUGUGUAUGAGAUUUGUAAAACGGUAAUUGCUUUUCCAAGGGGUUCAUUAAACUAGCAUAUAGUCGGAAGCAAUAUAAUAGCUGAAAUGAAAAUUAUGAAACAAUAGACCCCAAACAACUUCAUAAAUAUUAUCAUUUCGAGCACCAUUGAAACAAAGCCUCGUAACCAGAACGACAAAACCCAUUGCAAGCAAAUUAACCACCAAUCAAGAAAUACUAGAUUUGUUUAUUCCUUGGUCACAAACUCUGGUAACACUUGCAAUUAUAUUUGCAAUAUCGAGGUUGGUUGUUGCCUCUACUUUUAUGAUGCUUUGAGGACAAAAUGACAUUAGUGUUUGAGCCCGAAAUACCAAUGUGAAAACCAAACAGACUAUGUAAAUUGUUUUACAUCUUAAUAACCUUUGAAGCAAAUGGCAAAACUAGUAACUAAACUAGUAGGCAUUCUUUGUUUUAGUAAUUCAACAUUUUAUUUAGCCGAAAUAAUCAUUGAACUAAUAAAAAAAGUAUAAUUUUUUGUCAGCCACGUAGUAAAUAUUUACAUUUCUAAGUCACUAAUCUAAUGAGAGUGUACACUUUGUAGUCACAAAACGCAUCAUUUUAGUUAAAUAAAGAGUUUAGUGAUCAAAAUAGAGAAGUCUAAAUAGUUUAGUGACAAUGUGUGUCAUUUGCUCUAACCUUUAGUACGUUGUUUAUAAAAAGUUCGAGGAAAAUGAAAUAAAAAUUAUUAUUUUAUCAUGAUGCUAAGUUCAUGUUUCUUCUUCUUUCCACCUGAAGUAAUAUUUAUCUAUCUUCAUUUAUAUUUUUUGUUUUCUUUUUAUGCAAAUUUCGAACUCCAGAUCGAGGAUAGUAUUGUCAAUAUAAAAACUUCCAUACAAACCAAUAAAACAAGUACGGCCUAUAUUGAGUAAAUUUUAUAUACACUGUCAGUGUAUACAUUAUCAUGGUUGGAUGGGCGACACAGAAGCAAAUUUUGAAUUUUAAAUUCAAAUUUUGCACAUGUGAUAUAUCUAAUGGUGAUAGUAGUGUAUACACUGAUAACGUAUAUAAGAUUAAUCCUAUUUUAUAUGCUGACUAUAAGGUACUACACUAUAAACGAGUGCCAGUACUUGCUAAUCAAACAAGAUAUUCUUGACCAACAAAAGUAGGCAUAAUCCUGUAUCUAAAUUCUGAGUGUCAAGGUAUGUACAUCGGUUGUGUUGUGCCUACCGUAUUCAAGCAUGCAACAUUGGUCUUUCUUUUUCCUUCUCUUUGUUCUGGUUUUACUUCCCAUGCAUGAUCAUAGCCAGCUACAAGAAAAUCUUCUGAAAGGUAAGGCUAACUAAAGGAUUGUGGAUUAGUACAAAUGGAAUUUGCAAGGUGCUAGAAAGUAACCGCAAAUAGACCUUCAUCAUGUAAGGGCACCUUCCCUACGAGUCAAAUGGUAACAAUAUAUGAAUGGUUGGAUAAUUGGGACUUAAAAGUAGAUUCUUUGUUGGUAAAAGGAAAACGAAGUAGGAGUUUCCGAAGCCGCGUGUUUCUCUGGUGAUAUCUGGCUGGCAGCUUAUCAGCAUGCUUUUCUAGAUUGGGACAGCUUAGCACCGAAAACUAAACCCUGACUGGGUGGACAGAUCAUUGCGGCGCAAAUUUUGAUCCUGUAAUUAAGGUUCAAGGAUUCCAGCCAGGUUCCCUCAAACCUUUAACUCCGAUACAGCCAGAUCCUCAAUGAAAUCCUAGGUAUCAGAAUAGGAAAUUAACAUCUUAUUAUUAAUGCAGAAAGCGCAAGGUCCAUGUUCUCUGAAGACGCCGCUCACCAAAACAAGUAGGGAAUGGAAAUAAACAUAAUGGUAGAUCCUUCAUUUUCCUUUUCAUAAUGUACUAAUCUCUGCCUGACAAUCUUGGCGAUAACCGUCCCCGAAAACAAAAGGAUUUAAUACUGAUAAUUUCAACAAGAAAUCAACAGGUAGCCCCCCAUCACCUGAUUGUUGAAAAGGUAUUGACCAAAUAGAAUCAGCGGAGUUCAGACACAGAUGCAUUAAUGCAGAACAUAAAAGGGCAAAAAAAAUAUAGUACAUAUGCUAAAUGAAACAAGAAUCUCAGCUGACGUCUCAAAUUGGCCAACAAUAAUCUCUUACAUAGUUCUACUGCACCGUAGUGAUUACAUGGAGGAGGAAGAACAACAUUGUGUCGGGAGAACAGAAGAACAAUCAAAUUGCAAAAUCAGCUUGGAAGAGAUGUAUUCCUUCAACCAAUUCGAAUAAGUUUACCAAAGAGCUAGGAGGCUCAUAUAUACACGCCUUUGAGAAUAAAAAGGGCCACUACAGCUCCUUAAAUGAAAUCCCUAAACCAUUUCUUCUACAUGUACAAACAAAGUAUAAACAAGCCAAUCCUAUCUUCAAUGAAAGAAUUGAAGAAAAUGGGCCUGCAUGGAUUUGUUUUGUCAUGUACAAACU